GACGAACGCUGGCGGCGUGCUUAACACAUGCAAGUCGAGCGGUAAGGCCCUUUCGGGGGUACACGAGCGGCGAACGGGUGAGUAACACGUGGGUGACCUGCCUUUAGCUCUGGGAUAAGCCUGGGAAACUGGGUCUAAUACCGGAUAUGACUCCAUGAUGCAUGUUGUGGGGUGGAAAGCCUUGUGCGGCUGGAGAUGGGCCCGCGGCCUAUCAGCUUGUUGGUGGGGUGAUGGCCUACCAAGGCGACGACGAGUAGCCGGCCUGAGAGGGCGACCGGUCACACUGGGACUGAGACACGGCCCAGACUCCUACGGGAGGCAGCAGUGGGAAUAUUGCACAAUGGGCGAAAGCCUGAUGCAGCGACGCCGCGUGAGGGAUGAC
This 382-nucleotide ribosomal RNA is filed under the name uncultured bacterium. RNAcentral describes it as "bacterial SSU rRNA". It matches the Rfam family "Bacterial small subunit ribosomal RNA", at positions 28 to 412 of the family's 1533-position model. The record is from RNAcentral.